GGUGACCCAGUGGCCCGCGGAGGUGCGCCGUCACGUCGGCGGCUCGGUCACCUUCUACUGCAGCGUGGGGUCGGACGGGGAGGAGGUGGCCGACUGCGUGCCCUACUGGUACGUCCCCGACCCGGAGUCUUCCCCGGCCGGUUCUGGAGGGUGUGGUUCGUCAGCACUGGGCCUGGUGUACUUUCUCUUCGCUCUGAACAGCGCGAUUCUCUUCUGGAUCUGCGCCGCAGUCUGCUUGGUGUUCUGGCGCAGGACGCCGAGCUGCCAAUCGGAACCGAGCGGCUUCUACGCCAAACCCCCGAAGACAGCGCGCUGUGGGAGUGGAACUUGAAAUAACCAUGUGGACAUGUUCCCCCCUCCUCCUCCUCAAAUAAUAAAAUCACUGUUCCCCUCUGCGCCUCAAACAACGUGGCUACACGAUCCACGACCCUCUCUGAAGUAAACUGUCCGAAUGUGGGACGAUGUUCAUUAAAUUGGCUCAUCAAUAACACCACAGCUGUCCAGGUGGUUUCCCAAAGCAAAGCAGUACACAGUCACACCAGAGCACACCCGCGACCUUGACCUGGACAAAUUGGUUUAAAAAUGGAUGGAUGUGUAUUGGACACCCCUUGUAUAAGGCCUGCUUACAGUAGGUACUUAUCGCCUGUGGACGAUGGUAAGAAAUAAAUAACUAAUACAUAUCCAUUGUUUCCAUAAUAAAGCCUAA
This 706-nucleotide long non-coding RNA is filed under the name Lepisosteus oculatus (spotted gar). Its description in RNAcentral is "lncRNA (ENSLOCG00000023059.1)". The record is from RNAcentral. Lineage: Eukaryota; Metazoa; Chordata; Actinopteri; Semionotiformes; Lepisosteidae.